UGGGGAAUUUUGGACAAUGGGCGAAAGCCUGAUCCAGCAAUGCCGCGUGUGUGAAGAAGGCCUUCGGGUUGUAAAGCACUUUUGUCCGGAAAGAAAUCCUUGGCUCUAAUACAGUCGGGGGAUGACGGUACCGGAAGAAUAAGCACCGGCUAACUACGUGCCAGCAGCCGCGGUAAUACGUAGGGUGCAAGCGUUAAUCGGAAUUACUGGGCGUAAAGCGUGCGCAGGCGGUUUGCUAAGACCGAUGUGAAAUCCCCGGGCUCAACCUGGGAACUGCAUUGGUGACUGGCAGGCUAGAGUAUGGCAGAGGGGGGUAGAAUUCCACGUNUAGCAGUGAAAUGCGUAGAGAUGUGGAGGAAUACCGAUGGCGAAGGCAGCCCCCUGGGCCAAUACUGACGCUCAUGCACGAAAGCGUGGGGAGCAAACAGGAUUAGAUACCCUGGUAGUCCACGCCCUAAACGAUGUCAACUAGUUGUUGGGGAUUCAUUCCUUAGUAACGUAGCUAACGCGUGAAGUUGACCGCCUGGGGAGUACGGUCGCAAGAUUAAAACUCAAAUGAA
This 560-nucleotide ribosomal RNA is filed under the name uncultured bacterium. RNAcentral's name for it is "partial 16S ribosomal RNA". It matches the Rfam family "Bacterial small subunit ribosomal RNA", at positions 355 to 909 of the family's 1533-position model. The record is from RNAcentral.